Molecule: long non-coding RNA, 246 nt
Organism: Hibiscus syriacus
Lineage: Eukaryota; Viridiplantae; Streptophyta; Magnoliopsida; Malvales; Malvaceae
Exons: 4
Source: RefSeq, a predicted model, not a curated record
GGUUUUCUUGUUAUUGAUGAUGAUUGGAAAUUGGUUGGACUUGUUUCUGAUUAUGACUUGCUUCUGAUUAUGACUUGCUAGCAUUGGACUCCAUAUCUGGGCAGCGGACUGAGAAUGACUUGUUUCCUGAAGUUGAUAGCACUUGGAAAACUUUCAAUGAGGUACAGAAGUUACUCAGCAAAACGAACGGCUAGGUGGUUGGAGAUUUGAUGACACUGGCUCCAUUAGUUGUACGUGAGACAACUA